CUGAAGCUGCUGCUGACGCAUGAGAAAAAGCCUCCCAAGAGAGAUCACAUUUGCUAACUAGAAUUUGCUGCCAGCGAUUCACCAGUGACCGGACAUCCGCGCACAAUCACAUCUGUGUUUGUUCUUUCCCUUUUUAUUUUUUAAAUUUGUGUAAGUACUGUCACCAGUUACAAUUAGUCAAAGGGACUUAGCCCAGCUGUUUGGAAAUGAAGGAACAUCCCAUAACAUCAGUGAGACAUGGCUGAGGUCGGGAUGUUGCAGACCAUCCAAUGGAAGACAAUCAUCAGGUAAAGGAAAAGCAGGACCAUUAUCAGGAAAAUAGAGACCUGGACCAUCACCAGGAAGAACUGCACCAUCAUUGGGAAAAGGAAGAGCUGGACCAUCAUCAGAAAGAGGAAAAGCUGGACCAUCAUUGGGAAGAGGAAGAAAUGAGCCCAGUGCCAGUGAAAAUCGGGCAACUGCAUUGAAGGAAGAACUCCUGAGGCUGGAGAACAUCCUGAGGCCCAUUCUGCUCAGUAUUCCCACCUAAAGCAGACGCACUGUUGCGGAAGGAAAAGACGAAGGAGUACUGCACCAUCUGCAUGUCUAACAUUGAGGUUGGAAUGGAAAUGGCUGUAUCAUCCUGCCACCAUAACUUCCAUGUUUCUUGCCUGACAAAAUGACUACAGAUGAACAGCGUUUGCCCUGUGUGCUGCACAAGGUGCUGCAACCUGAACCUUAUCUGAAGGACACCAAAUAGAAGCAGAAACAGUGGACCCAAUCCUAAGAUCAGAAGUCCAAACCGAACCUUCCAAUUCUAUAUGAUGGACUAUUAGGAACAACUGACAACACGGCCUUUCAUCCUCUAACACAUCACACGGCAUAGCUUAAUGCAGCCUUCAUCUGUUUGUGGAGGUGCCUGGGAGAGAUAGGAUGUUCUCAGCAGCCAGCAAGUGUGCUCUGAAAGGCCAGAGAACAAACCAGGUUUGCCCUUGAAACCUUUUAGCAUGUGACAAGCUCAGCCGCUCACCAAUUAUCCUGUGAUGAAAAUCAAUGAUGAAGUCCCAACAUUAUAUGUGUAUAGUUGUAGCAGGCAAUAGAAGGCAUUAGGACAAGACAAGCUACUACACUGUGACUUCGGAAACCUAUGUACCUUAUCAGCAAACAUGAAAACAGUUAUAUGUCACUUAUAUGUGCAGGAGCACAAAUGCAUUAUUGUUCACCACACUAGUCAUAUAUUAAGGAACAAGUUACAUGAUCAAAAAAAGCUGUUGCCCCUAACUCACUUUAAAAGGCAAAGCAGCAAUUUCGGUUGAGCGCUUAAUUCCAAUGGAAUUCCAACUGUUAUCAAAUAAAUGGUUUAAUGUGUAAAGUUAAA
Pseudophryne corroboree (corroboree frog) is the source of this 1357-nucleotide long non-coding RNA. RefSeq lists it as uncharacterized. The record is from RefSeq and is a predicted model, not a curated record. NCBI's taxonomy places the organism in Eukaryota, Metazoa, Chordata, Amphibia, Anura, Myobatrachidae. The transcript has 2 exons.